RNAcentral lists this ribosomal RNA (639 nucleotides) under uncultured Streptomyces sp. Its description in RNAcentral is "bacterial SSU rRNA". It matches the Rfam family "Bacterial small subunit ribosomal RNA", at positions 223 to 872 of the family's 1533-position model. The record is from RNAcentral. Lineage: Bacteria; Bacillati; Actinomycetota; Actinomycetes; Kitasatosporales; Streptomycetaceae.
GGAUGAGCCCGCGGCCUAUCAGCUUGUUGGUGAGGUAAUGGCUCACCAAGGCGACGACGGGUAGCCGGCCUGAGAGGGCGACCGGCCACACUGGGACUGAGACACGGCCCAGACUCCUACGGGAGGCAGCAGUGGGGAAUAUUGCACAAUGGGCGUAAGCCUGAUGCAGCGACGCCGCGUGAGGGAUGACGGCCUUCGGGUUGUAAACCUCUUUCAGCAGGGAAGAAGCGAAAGUGACGGUACCUGCAGAAGAAGCGCCGGCUAACGACGUGCCAGCAGCCGCGGUAAUACGUAGGGCGCAAGCGUUGUCCGGAAUUAUUGGGCGUAAAGAGCUCGUAGGCGGCUUGUCACGUCGGGUGUGAAAGCCCGGGGCUUAACCCCGGGUCUGCAUUCGAUACGGGCUAGCUAGAGUGUGGUAGGGGAGAUCGGAAUUCCUGGUGUAGCGGUGAAAUGCGCAGAUAUCAGGAGGAACACCGGUGGCGAAGGCGGAUCUCUGGGCCAUUACUGACGCUGAGGAGCGAAAGCGUGGGGAGCGAACAGGAUUAGAUACCCUGGUAGUCCACGCCGUAAACGGUGGGAACUAGGUGUUGGCGACAUUCCACGUCGUCGGUGCCGCAGCUAACGCAUUAAGUUCCCCGC